RNAcentral lists this long non-coding RNA (717 nucleotides) under Brassica napus (rape). RNAcentral describes it as "long non-coding RNA (BNAP_LNC023315)". Lineage: Eukaryota; Viridiplantae; Streptophyta; Magnoliopsida; Brassicales; Brassicaceae. The record is from RNAcentral.
CUCCCCUGGGUUUCUCUCCGUCGUGAAAGAAUGAGGAACAAAGGAGAGUAGGUCAAAACAUAAACAAAAACGACGUCGUUUCAAUAAUUAGAUUACAUGUAUUCUACCUAAAGUAGAUCGAUAAAAUGUGCCAAAUAAGCCACGCAAACCUACUGCUAAACGUUGGUGCUUAUCACCCCUAAUCCUCUAAAUUACUGUAAAUACAUGAAGCAAAAAAAGAAUAAAAUUGUACAUAAUUGGUGAAUCUCAAUACAUUGUCAUCACCAAUGAUAAGAGUUUAGAGUAUAAGGAUCUUUUAUGAAGGCUUUCGUCAGGGUUCGUUUAUGGUUUAGUGAGGUUUCGUUUAGGGUUUAUUUAGGGUUCGUUUAGGGUUUAGUGAGGUUUCAUUUAGGGUUUAGGUAGGGUUCGAUUAGGGUUUAGUGAGGGUUUGUUAUUUCUCAAUUUGAUUAAAGCAACUCUUUCAUGCAAAAGCAAACCACAAAUUGAUAAACCAAGUGUUUUGUCAGAUAAUUCCUAGAAAACCAAUCAAGAGUUUUGUCACACAAAUCCUAGAAAAACAAAGACAAACACACAUAAUCAGUCUUCUUCGAUGUCAAAGACAUCAGAAGUCUCAUACUCUGAAGGCACAUGUUCUGCCAUAAGCUGAAUUAACAUGGGAUCUUGUGCAGCCUCCCAUAUAUCCAGAGCAAUCUUCUGGCGGCAACCCUGCAUGAUCUC